This 433-nucleotide ribosomal RNA is filed under the name uncultured bacterium. RNAcentral's name for it is "partial 16S ribosomal RNA". It matches the Rfam family "Bacterial small subunit ribosomal RNA", at positions 29 to 507 of the family's 1533-position model. The record is from RNAcentral.
AACGAACGCUGGCGGCAGGCCUAACUCAUGCAAGUCGAGCGGACCCUUCGGGGUUAGCGGCGGACGGGUGAGUAACGCGUGGGAAUAUGCCCUUCUCUACGGAAUAGUCCUGGGAAACUGGGGGUAAUACCGUAUACGCCCUUUGGGGGAAAGAUUUAUCGGGGAAGGAUUAGCCCGCGUUGGAUUAGGUAGUUGGUGGGGUAAUGGCCUACCAAGCCGACGAUCCAUAGCUGGUUUGAGAGGAUGAUCAGCCACACUGGGACUGAGACACGGCCCAGACUCCUACGGGAGGCAGCAGUGGGGAAUCUUAGACAAUGGGGGCAACCCUGAUCUAGCCAUGCCGCGUGAGUGAUGAAGGCCUUAGGGUUGUAAAGCUCUUUCAGCUGGGAAGAUAAUGACGGUACCAGCAGAAGAAGCCCCGGCUAACUCCGUG